Molecule: ribosomal RNA, 513 nt
Filed under: uncultured bacterium
Lineage: Bacteria
Description: bacterial SSU rRNA
Rfam family: Bacterial small subunit ribosomal RNA
Source: RNAcentral
GACGAACGCUGGCGGCGUGGAUCAGGCAUGCAAGUCGAACGGUAUCAUCCUUUCGGGGGUGAGAGAGUGGCGAACUGGUGAGUAACACGUAGGUUAUCUACCCUCAAGACGGGGACAACCCAGGGAAACUUGGGCUAAUACCGGAUGUGAGCAACUUUUUAGUUGUUUGAAAGGUGGCGUAAGCUGUCGCUUGGGGAUGAGCCUGCGUCCUAUUAGUUAGUUGGUGAGGUAACGGCUCACCUAGGCAAUGAUAGGUAGGCGGCCUUAACGGGUGGUCGCCCACACUGGGAUUGAGAUACGGCCCAGACUCCUACGGGAGGCAGCAGUCGAGAAUAGUCUACAAUGGUCGGAAGACUGAUAGUGCGACGCCGCGUGAACGAUGAAUCCCUUCGGGGUGUAAAAGUUCUUUUAUAUGUAGAGCAGUGCUUCUUAAUAUUAACAGUAUGGGGAGAGAGAUAUUAGCAUAUAAUAAGCAACGGCUAAACUUCCGGCCAGCAGCCGACGGUAAAACGG